This 325-nucleotide long non-coding RNA is filed under the name Gossypium raimondii (Peruvian cotton). RNAcentral describes it as "long non-coding RNA (GRAI_LNC011123)". Lineage: Eukaryota; Viridiplantae; Streptophyta; Magnoliopsida; Malvales; Malvaceae. The record is from RNAcentral.
UCUUAUUGGGCUUUGGGCCUUUCUUGAUCUUAUUAGCUUUUAAGCAUUUGUUUUUUUUUUUUGGAUCAGCGCCUAAAGGAAGAAGAACUGGAGAUAAGAAAAUAUUUUUGUUGGGUUUGAUUGGUACUUGAGAUUUUUACAGGAAUAUUGUUUUUUUUUUUUCAUUAUUUAUUGAUUUGUGUGUUUUAAGGACCACUUUGACACUCAUGGUUAUUCUUGGAAAAGUAAAUAAAAUUAUAUUAGGUUUAAUCUUAAUAUCUACGACUACGAAUGUUGAGUUUUUUUGUUUAAUUAAAAUUAUUAUCUUCUGGAAAGAAUAAUCCUA